RNA transcript from Vigna radiata var. radiata (mung bean), 1130 nucleotides. RefSeq lists it as uncharacterized. Lineage: Eukaryota; Viridiplantae; Streptophyta; Magnoliopsida; Fabales; Fabaceae. The record is from RefSeq and is a predicted model, not a curated record. The transcript has 3 exons.
AACGCUAUUUACCGAGGCUCAUUUACCCACGGCCUUAGAGCCUUCGAGCCUUCGGUAUUAGUGAAAUAAUUUACCGAGGGUUCUUGAGCCUCGGUAAUCUCCAUGAUCCUUUUAACUAAAAAACCCCACAUCACCAAAAUCUGAGAAUUCCCUCUAUCACCAAUUUGCCAAAGAUCAGAAGCUCUGUUCGUUGCGCUUGCCCUAAGGUGUUGUCGUCUUGUUGUGCUUGCCCUAAGGCGAAGUUCUGUUCGUUGGUGGCUGGUUUUUUGCAGUUUGCGUGAGUACGGUUGGUGGGUUUUCCGGCAGGGUUGUGGGUCGUACUACUUAGCGUUUGCGGUAGUGGUGGUGGGCAUCGAGGUUGGCUUGACGGCGACGUUUGGGUGAAGUGGGGUUGUUGAGUUCGUAGGGGUCGUGGUCUGCAGAGGUUGGCAUCGUCGAACCUUUUGCUUUCGAGUUUCCAGCUUAAAGACCUAGGUAGCAUUUUUAGGAAGAGGAGCUGAAACAGAAUCUGGGUUGAAUAGGGAACUUCCAGCCAGCUGCCAAUGACGCUUGAUGAUUAUGGUCCAUCAAUGACAGAAAUGAGCCAGCCAUUUGUGAGUGCAUCAUUUAAUCCAACUGGAGAGGAAGUAAGGAAGAAAGCACAUUCAAAGUCAGCAACCAAUGAAAAACAUAAAAAAGUUGUUGAUGAUGGUUUAGAUGCUGUUUUAGAGGAAGAAGAAGCUGAAAUUAAAGCACUUGAAGAAGAGUUGGUUGCAUUGAAGACUGAGUUGUUUGAGGAGAAAAAUAAAUAUUAUGGUGGUUACAGUACCCCAUGUAACCAAAUGAGAAUUGCAACAACUAUGGACGUGAGGGAGAAGAUUGCAGCAAUGAAACUGUUAUGAAGUAUUACAUGCGCCGAAAGCGAUUCAAAAGUGCAGUUUGUAAAACUUCGUACACCGGAUAUAGUCCCAAACUUUAAUCAUGGAGAGUUGUAUUACUGCAGUAAUUUGUAGAACUUUAAUUAUGGAUAUUUGUAUUUGAAACAAAGAUUUGGUUUGUUAAUUAAGAAAGUGGUUGUUAGCAAGUGCUCAUUUGAAUUGUUAUUGUAAUAUUCAUUCCAUUUGUUGAUUGGUAGUGUUGUUUAAUUUUCA